ACGCCGCGUGAGUGAAGAAGGUUUUCGGAUCGUAAAGCUCUGUUGUAAGUCAGAACGUGUGUGAGAGUGGAAAGUUCACACAGUGACGGUAGCUUACCAGAAAGGGACGGCUAACUACGUGCCAGCAGCCGCGGUAAUACGUAGGUCCCGAGCGUUGUCCGGAUUUAUUGGGCGUAAAGGGAGCGCAGGCGGUCGGGAAAGUCUGGAGUAAAAGGCUAUGGCUCAACCAUAGUGUGCUCUGGAAACUGUCUGACUUGAGUGCAGAAGGGGAGAGUGGAAUUCCAUGUGUAGCGGUGAAAUGCGUAGAUAUAUGGAGGAACACCAGUGGCGAAAGCGGCUCUCUGGUCUGUCACUGACGCUGAGGCUCGAAAGCGUGGGUAGCGAACAGGAUUAGAUACCCUGGUAGUCCACGCCGUAAACGAUGAGUGCUAGGUGUUAGGCCCUUUCCGGGGCUUAGUGCCGGAGCUACGCAUAAGCACUCCGCCUGGGGAGUACGACCGCAAGGUGAAACUCAAAGGAAUUGACGGGG
This 529-nucleotide ribosomal RNA is filed under the name Streptococcus mutans. RNAcentral describes it as "bacterial SSU rRNA". It matches the Rfam family "Bacterial small subunit ribosomal RNA", at positions 394 to 918 of the family's 1533-position model. The record is from RNAcentral. Lineage: Bacteria; Bacillati; Bacillota; Bacilli; Lactobacillales; Streptococcaceae.